UGGGCGAGAGACCGAUAGCAAACAAGUACCGCGAGGGAAAGAUGAAAAGGACUUUGAAAAGAGAGUCAAAGAGUGCUUGAAAUUGUCGGGAGGGAAGCGAAUGGGGGCCGGCGAUGCGCCUCGGUCGGAUGUGGAACGGUUAACGCCGGUCCGCCAAUCGACUCGGGGUGUGGAUCGGUGCGGAUUGGGACGGAGGCCAAAGCCCAGGAAGUCGUUAAGCCUGAGGAGACGCCUUCGCCCCGAUCGUGGCUGGCAGCGCGCGCCUUUUCGGCGUGCUUCGGCAUCUGCGCGCUCCCGG
This 298-nucleotide ribosomal RNA is filed under the name Arctostaphylos nummularia. RNAcentral describes it as "partial 28S ribosomal RNA". It matches the Rfam family "Eukaryotic large subunit ribosomal RNA", at positions 323 to 622 of the family's 3401-position model. Lineage: Eukaryota; Viridiplantae; Streptophyta; Magnoliopsida; Ericales; Ericaceae. The record is from RNAcentral.